UUUAUGGAGAGUUUGAUCCUGGCUCAGGAUGAACGCUGGCGGCGUGCCUAAUACAUGCAAGUCGAGCGAACGGACGAGAAGCUUGCUUCUCUGAUGUUAGCGGCGGACGGGUGAGUAACACGUGGAUAACCUACCUAUAAGACUGGGAUAACUUCGGGAAACCGGAGCUAAUACCGGAUAAUAUUUUGAACCGCAUGGUUCAAAAGUGAAAGACGGUCUUGCUGUCACUUAUAGAUGGAUCCGCGCUGCAUUAGCUAGUUGGUAAGGUAACGGCUUACCAAGGCAACGAUGCAUAGCCGACCUGAGAGGGUGAUCGGCCACACUGGAACUGAGACACGGUCCAGACUCCUACGGGAGGCAGCAGUAGGGAAUCUUCCGCAAUGGGCGAAAGCCUGACGGAGCAACGCCGCGUGAGUGAUGAAGGUCUUCGGAUCGUAAAACUCUGUUAUUAGGGAAGAACAUAUGUGUAAGUAACUGUGCACAUCUUGACGGUACCUAAUCAGAAAGCCACGGCUAACUACGUGCCAGCAGCCGCGGUAAUACGUAGGUGGCAAGCGUUAUCCGGAAUUAUUGGGCGUAAAGCGCGCGUAGGCGGUUUUUUAAGUCUGAUGUGAAAGCCCACGGCUCAACCGUGGAGGGUCAUUGGAAACUGGAAAACUUGAGUGCAGAAGAGGAAAGUGGAAUUCCAUGUGUAGCGGUGAAAUGCGCAGAGAUAUGGAGGAACACCAGUGGCGAAGGCGACUUUCUGGUCUGUAACUGACGCUGAUGUGCGAAAGCGUGGGGAUCAAACAGGAUUAGAUACCCUGGUAGUCCACGCCGUAAACGAUGAGUGCUAAGUGUUAGGGGGUUUCCGCCCCUUAGUGCUGCAGCUAACGCAUUAAGCACUCCGCCUGGGGAGUACGACCGCAAGGUUGAAACUCAAAGGAAUUGACGGGGACCCGCACAAGCGGUGGAGCAUGUGGUUUAAUUCGAAGCAACGCGAAGAACCUUACCAAAUCUUGACAUCCUUUGACAACUCUAGAGAUAGAGCCUUCCCCUUCGGGGGACAAAGUGACAGGUGGUGCAUGGUUGUCGUCAGCUCGUGUCGUGAGAUGUUGGGUUAAGUCCCGCAACGAGCGCAACCCUUAAGCUUAGUUGCCAUCAUUAAGUUGGGCACUCUAAGUUGACUGCCGGUGACAAACCGGAGGAAGGUGGGGAUGACGUCAAAUCAUCAUGCCCCUUAUGAUUUGGGCUACACACGUGCUACAAUGGACAAUACAAAGGGUAGCGAAACCGCGAGGUCAAGCAAAUCCAAUAAAGUUGUUCUCAGUUCGGAUUGUAGUCUGCAACUCGACUACAUGAAGCUGGAAUCGCUAGUAAUCGUAGAUCAGCAUGCUACGGUGAAUACGUUCCCGGGUCUUGUACACACCGCCCGUCACACCACGAGAGUUUGUAACACCCGAAGCCGGUGGAGUAACCUUUUAGGAGCUAGCCGUCGAAGGUGGGACAAAUGAUUGGGGUGAAGUCGUAACAAGGUAGCCGUAUCGGAAGGUGCGGCUGGAUCACCUCCUUUCU
Molecule: ribosomal RNA, 1554 nt
Filed under: Staphylococcus aureus
Lineage: Bacteria; Bacillati; Bacillota; Bacilli; Caryophanales; Staphylococcaceae
Description: 16S ribosomal RNA
Rfam family: Bacterial small subunit ribosomal RNA
Source: RNAcentral